AUUGAACGCUGGCGGCAGGCCUAACACAUGCAAGUCGAGCGGAUGAAGGGAGCUUGCUCCUGGAUUCAGCGGCGGACGGGUGAGUAAUGCCUAGGAAUCUGCCUGGUAGUGGGGGAUAACGUCCGGAAACGGGCGCUAAUACCGCAUACGUCCUGAGGGAGAAAGUGGGGGAUCUUCGGACCUCACGCUAUCAGAUGAGCCUAGGUCGGAUUAGCUAGUUGGUGGGGUAAAGGCCUACCAAGGCGACGAUCCGUAACUGGUCUGAGAGGUUGAUCAGUCACACUGGAAUUGAGACACGGUCCAGAUCCCUACGGGAGGCAGAAGUGGGGAAUAUUGGACAAUGGGCGAAAGCCUGAUCAAGCAAUGCCGCGUGUGUGAAGAAGGUCUUCGGAUUGUAAAGCACUUUAAGUUGGAAGAAGGGCAGUAAGUUAAUACCUUGCUGUUUUGACGUUACCAACAGAAUAAGCACCGGCUAACUUCGUG
Molecule: ribosomal RNA, 483 nt
Filed under: uncultured bacterium
Lineage: Bacteria
Description: partial 16S ribosomal RNA
Rfam family: Bacterial small subunit ribosomal RNA
Source: RNAcentral